GCCGAAAUAGCUCAGUUAAGGAGAGCGUUAGACUGAAAGAUCUAAAGGUCCUAGGUUCAAUCGGUUUUCGGCA
This is a non-coding RNA of Trichonephila inaurata madagascariensis, 73 nucleotides long. NCBI's taxonomy places the organism in Eukaryota, Metazoa, Arthropoda, Arachnida, Araneae, Nephilidae. The record is from the annotation of a GenBank genome assembly.